UACGUAGGGUGCAAGCGUUGUCCGGAAUUAUUGGGCGUAAAGAGCUCGUAGGCGGUCUGUCGCGUCGGAUGUGAAAACCCAGGGCUCAACCUGGGAAUUGCAUUCGAGACUGCAUGGCUAGGAUGCGGAAGAGGGAAGCGGAAUUUCCGGUGUAGCGGUGAAAUGCGUAGAUAUCGGAAGGAACACCAGUGGCGAAAGCGGCUUCCUGGUCCAGCAUCGACGUUCAGGCACGAAAGCGUGGGGAGCAAACAGG
This 253-nucleotide ribosomal RNA is filed under the name uncultured bacterium. RNAcentral's name for it is "partial 16S ribosomal RNA". It matches the Rfam family "Bacterial small subunit ribosomal RNA", at positions 524 to 776 of the family's 1533-position model. The record is from RNAcentral.